ACUUUUAGCAAUGGAUCUCUAGGCUCUCAUAUCGAUGAAGAACACAGUGAAAUGUGAUAAUUAAUGUGAAUUGCAGAAUUCAGUGAAUCAUCAAGUUUUUGAACGCACCUUGCACCUUUUGGUAUUCCAAAAGGUACACCUGUGAGUGUCAU
This 152-nucleotide ribosomal RNA is filed under the name Phakopsora meibomiae. RNAcentral describes it as "5.8S ribosomal RNA". It matches the Rfam family "5.8S ribosomal RNA". From Rfam's summary of the family: 5.8S ribosomal RNA (5.8S rRNA) is a component of the large subunit of the eukaryotic ribosome. The record is from RNAcentral. Lineage: Eukaryota; Fungi; Basidiomycota; Pucciniomycetes; Pucciniales; Phakopsoraceae.